GGACUCAUAGCCUAGCAUGGAUAAGGCGACAGCCUUCGGAGUUGUAGAUCGGGGGUUCAAAUCCCUCUGGGUCCACCA
This 78-nucleotide transfer RNA is filed under the name Promethearchaeota archaeon. RNAcentral describes it as "Candidatus Lokiarchaeota archaeon (marine sediment metagenome) tRNA-Arg". It matches the Rfam family "tRNA". Rfam says of the family: Transfer RNA (tRNA) molecules are approximately 80 nucleotides in length. RNAcentral also lists the same sequence under 1 other name. The record is from RNAcentral. Lineage: Archaea; Promethearchaeati; Promethearchaeota.